This 2918-nucleotide ribosomal RNA is filed under the name Pseudomonas syringae pv. syringae. RNAcentral's name for it is "bacterial LSU rRNA". It matches the Rfam family "Bacterial large subunit ribosomal RNA". Lineage: Bacteria; Pseudomonadati; Pseudomonadota; Gammaproteobacteria; Pseudomonadales; Pseudomonadaceae. The record is from RNAcentral.
GUUAUAUGGUCAAGUGAAGAAGCGCAUACGGUGGAUGCCUUGGCAGUCAGAGGCGAUGAAAGACGUGGUAGCCUGCGAAAAGCUUCGGGGAGUCGGCAAACAGACUGUGAUCCGGAGAUGUCUGAAUGGGGGAACCCAGCCAUCAUAAGAUGGUUAUCUUGUACUGAAUACAUAGGUGCAAGAGGCGAACCAGGGGAACUGAAACAUCUAAGUACCCUGAGGAAAAGAAAUCAACCGAGAUUCCCUUAGUAGUGGCGAGCGAACGGGGACCAGCCCUUAAGUUGUAUUGAGAUUAGCGGAACGUUCUGGAAAGGACGGCCAUAGUGGGUGAUAGCCCUGUACGCGAAAAUCCCUUUGCAAUGAAAUCGAGUAGGACGGGGCACGAGAAACCUUGUCUGAAUAUGGGGGGACCAUCCUCCAAGGCUAAAUACUACUGACUGACCGAUAGUGAACAAGUACCGUGAGGGAAAGGCGAAAAGAACCGCGGAGAGCGGAGUGAAAUAGAUCCUGAAACCGUAUGCGUACAAGCAGUGGGAGCCCACUUUGUUGGGUGACUGCGUACCUUUUGUAUAAUGGGUCAGCGACUUAUUUUCAGUGGCGAGCUUAACCGAAUAGGGGAGGCGUAGCGAAAGCGAGUCUUAAUAGGGCGUCUAGUCGCUGGGAAUAGACCCGAAACCGGGCGAUCUAUCCAUGGGCAGGUUGAAGGUUGGGUAACACUAACUGGAGGACCGAACCGACUACCGUUGAAAAGUUAGCGGAUGACCUGUGGAUCGGAGUGAAAGGCUAAUCAAGCUCGGAGAUAGCUGGUUCUCCUCGAAAGCUAUUUAGGUAGCGCCUCAUGUAUCACUGUAGGGGGUAGAGCACUGUUUCGGCUAGGGGGUCAUCCCGACUUACCAAACCGAUGCAAACUCCGAAUACCUACAAGUGCCGAGCAUGGGAGACACACGGCGGGUGCUAACGUCCGUCGUGAAAAGGGAAACAACCCAGACCGUCAGCUAAGGUCCCAAAGUCAUGGUUAAGUGGGAAACGAUGUGGGAAGGCUUAGACAGCUAGGAGGUUGGCUUAGAAGCAGCCACCCUUUAAAGAAAGCGUAAUAGCUCACUAGUCGAGUCGGCCUGCGCGGAAGAUGUAACGGGGCUCAAACCAUGCACCGAAGCUACGGGUAUCAUCUUAGGAUGAUGCGGUAGAGGAGCGUUCUGUAAGCCUGUGAAGGUGAGUUGAGAAGCUUGCUGGAGGUAUCAGAAGUGCGAAUGCUGACAUGAGUAACGACAAUGGGUGUGAAAAACACCCACGCCGAAAGACCAAGGUUUCCUGCGCAACGUUAAUCGACGCAGGGUUAGUCGGUCCCUAAGGCGAGGCUGAAAAGCGUAGUCGAUGGAAAACAGGUUAAUAUUCCUGUACUUCUGGUUAUUGCGAUGGAGGGACGGAGAAGGCUAGGCCAGCCUGGCGUUGGUUGUCCAGGUUUAAGGUGGUAGGCUGAGAUCUUAGGUAAAUCCGGGAUCUUAAGGCCGAGAGCUGAUGACGAGUGUUCUUUUAGAACACGAAGUGGUUGAUGCCAUGCUUCCAAGAAAAGCUUCUAAGCUUCAGGUAACCAGGAACCGUACCCCAAACCGACACAGGUGGUUGGGUAGAGAAUACCAAGGCGCUUGAGAGAACUCGGGUGAAGGAACUAGGCAAAAUGGCACCGUAACUUCGGGAGAAGGUGCGCCGGUGGAGGUGAAGCAUUUACUGCGUAAGCCCCUGCCGGUCGAAGAUACCAGGCCGCUGCGACUGUUUAUUAAAAACACAGCACUCUGCAAACACGAAAGUGGACGUAUAGGGUGUGACGCCUGCCCGGUGCCGGAAGGUUAAUUGAUGGGGUUAGCGCAAGCGAAGCUCUUGAUCGAAGCCCCGGUAAACGGCGGCCGUAACUAUAACGGUCCUAAGGUAGCGAAAUUCCUUGUCGGGUAAGUUCCGACCUGCACGAAUGGCGUAACGAUGGCGGCGCUGUCUCCACCCGAGACUCAGUGAAAUUGAAAUCGCUGUGAAGAUGCAGUGUAUCCGCGGCUAGACGGAAAGACCCCGUGAACCUUUACUAUAGCUUUGCACUGGACUUUGAAUUUGCUUGUGUAGGAUAGGUGGGAGGCUUUGAAGCGUGGACGCCAGUCUGCGUGGAGCCAACCUUGAAAUACCACCCUGGCAACUUUGAGGUUCUAACUCAGGUCCGUUAUCCGGAUCGAGGACAGUGUAUGGUGGGUAGUUUGACUGGGGCGGUCUCCUCCUAAAGAGUAACGGAGGAGUACGAAGGUGCGCUCAGACCGGUCGGAAAUCGGUCGUAGAGUAUAAAGGCAAAAGCGCGCUUGACUGCGAGACAGACACGUCGAGCAGGUACGAAAGUAGGUCUUAGUGAUCCGGUGGUUCUGUAUGGAAGGGCCAUCGCUCAACGGAUAAAAGGUACUCCGGGGAUAACAGGCUGAUACCGCCCAAGAGUUCAUAUCGACGGCGGUGUUUGGCACCUCGAUGUCGGCUCAUCACAUCCUGGGGCUGAAGCCGGUCCCAAGGGUAUGGCUGUUCGCCAUUUAAAGUGGUACGCGAGCUGGGUUUAGAACGUCGUGAGACAGUUCGGUCCCUAUCUGCCGUGGACGUUUGAGAUUUGAGAGGGGCUGCUCCUAGUACGAGAGGACCGGAGUGGACGAACCUCUGGUGUUCCGGUUGUCACGCCAGUGGCAUUGCCGGGUAGCUAUGUUCGGAAAAGAUAACCGCUGAAAGCAUCUAAGCGGGAAACUUGCCUCAAGAUGAGAUCUCACUGGAACCUUGAGUUCCCUAAAGGGCCGUCGAAGACUACGACGUUGAUAGGUUGGGUGUGUAAGCGCUGUGAGGCGUUGAGCUAACCAAUACUAAUUGCCCGUGAGGCUUGACCAUAUAACACCCAAGCAAUU